UAGGGAAGUUGAUCCACACCU
This 21-nucleotide non-coding RNA is filed under the name Caenorhabditis elegans. The record is from RNAcentral. Lineage: Eukaryota; Metazoa; Nematoda; Chromadorea; Rhabditida; Rhabditidae.